Long non-coding RNA from Aethalodelphis obliquidens (Pacific white-sided dolphin), 1349 nucleotides. RefSeq lists it as uncharacterized. The record is from RefSeq and is a predicted model, not a curated record. Lineage: Eukaryota; Metazoa; Chordata; Mammalia; Artiodactyla; Delphinidae. The transcript has 4 exons.
AUGAGAAACAGUCAAACUGUCUUCCAAAGUGGCAGCACCUUCUGCAUUCCCCACCAGCACUGAACGAGCGUUCCUGCGGCUCCACAACCUCACCGGCAUUUGGUGUUGUCAGUGUUCUGGACUUUGGCCUUUCUAAUAGGAUGAAGACAGUGAUGAAGAAGAUGAUGAUGAUAUAGCAGUGAUGAUGCUGUGACGCCGCUGCUGUGGCUGAUGACGGUGAUGUCAGCAGCUCUAGCAGAUGCUGUCAGUGGCCCACCCUAUCUCCAUGGUCCACCCUGGAGCUCGGCUGCUGACGGCUUCCUGCACUUCUGAAGCCUCAGGGUUUCUCUGGCCACAGCGGCCAGCCUGGUCCUGCUGGGACAGAGAUCCAGGAGUGUGAAAUCAAGAAUGUGCAACGGGUGGUUUGCCUCAUGGUCAAAUAUGGCUGCUGAAACUCCGGACAUCAACUCUGUGUUCCAGGGAGGAAGAAAGGGACUGGGAGUGUAAGGAGAACUGCUGAUGACUCUCACUGUUCUUAUAUAGGCCAAGGUUGCCCUACUGUAAGCCCCCAUGACUCUGCCAGGAGAUUCACUCUCAGCUCAGGAACAGGGGCUGAAAACAGGAAGUACCCUCAAGCCGUCCUCAGAGAUAAACAAGAGCUGGCGGAUAAAUACCUCAGCUUCUUCGCCUCCUGGUGGGAUAAGUCUGAGAGGUGUGUUCUGCACCAUUUCCCCGAAGGUCCCAGCAGCACUGAGUCGUCGCCCACAGCAGUGACUGCCCAUCCGUGUGCUGUGCACCGUUCCUCCCUUUCUCCGACUCACCUCCCCAUGGCGCUACUCUGAAAAAAUCCAUUACGCUUGAAUCCUUGACUCAGAGUCAGCUUGUGAGGGAACCCAGUCAAUGACAGGGGACAGGGCAAAAGGGGCACCCCCGGCUGGCUGUCCACCUCUUAAGGAGCCCCUCCUCCCACAGCUCCGGUCAGCAUCCACGCUCAUUUCAUUGUGCUCGAGCUGCAAGGGCAGCAGGGACCCGUAGGCCAUUAGCUGGGAUCUGCUGCUCAGGAAGGAGGUGGGGAGCGUGGCCAUGGGGCGGCAGCCGGCACUCUCUGCCGCUGUGAAAGAAGGAAGAAUGAUGGAAAGUUUCCGCCUUCCUCUGGGACCAGAUCUGACAAGGACCCGUCAAGUCUCUUGGACGCUUCCUGAGAAAUGAAUUCAUUUAUUUCAUUCCACGAAUGUUGGCUGAAACCUACUGAGUGCUCGGCUCUGGAAUGCUAUCGAGAAGAAGACACGGUUCUCACUGGUGUGAGGUGAUACCUCCACUUAGAAUGGGCAUCGUCAGAAAAUCUACAAACAACAAAUACCGGAGAGGGU